This 287-nucleotide ribosomal RNA is filed under the name uncultured bacterium. Its description in RNAcentral is "partial 16S ribosomal RNA". It matches the Rfam family "Bacterial small subunit ribosomal RNA", at positions 775 to 1067 of the family's 1533-position model. The record is from RNAcentral.
GGAUUAGAUACCCUGGUAGUCCACGCCGUAAACGAUGGUCACUAGCUGUUUGGUUUUAGGACUGAGUGGCUAAGCGAAAGUGAUAAGUGACCCACCUGGGGAGUACGUUCGCAAGAAUGAAACUCAAAGGAAUUGACGGGGGCCCGCACAAGCGGUGGAGCAUGUGGUUUAAUUCGAUGAUACGCGAGGAACCUUACCAGGGCUUAAAUGUAGAUUGACAGGUUUAGAGAUAGACUUUUCUUCGGACAAUUUACAAGGUGCUGCAUGGUUGUCGUCAGCUCGUGCCG